This 424-nucleotide ribosomal RNA is filed under the name uncultured bacterium. Its description in RNAcentral is "bacterial SSU rRNA". It matches the Rfam family "Bacterial small subunit ribosomal RNA", at positions 355 to 776 of the family's 1533-position model. The record is from RNAcentral.
UAAGGAAUAUUGGUCAAUGGGCGGAAGCCUGAACCAGCCAUGCCGCGUGCAGGAAGACGGCCCUAUGGGUUGUAAACUGCUUUUGUACCGGAAUAAACCCUUUUACGUGUAGGAGGCUGAAUGUACGGUAAGAAUAAGGAUCGGCUAACUCCGUGCCAGCAGCCGCGGUAAUACGGAGGAUCCGAGCGUUAUCCGGAUUUAUUGGGUUUAAAGGGUGCGUAGGCGGCCUGUUAAGUCAGGGGUGAAAGACGGUAGCUCAACUAUCGCAGUGCCCUUGAUACUGAUGGGCUUGAAUGUACUUGAGGUAGGCGGAAUGUGACAAGUAGCGGUGAAAUGCAUAGAUAUGUCACAGAACACCGAUUGCGAAGGCAGCUUACUAAGGUAUGAUUGACGCUGAGGCACGAAAGCGUGGGUAUCAAACAGG